Molecule: ribosomal RNA, 226 nt
Filed under: uncultured bacterium
Lineage: Bacteria
Description: partial 16S ribosomal RNA
Rfam family: Bacterial small subunit ribosomal RNA
Source: RNAcentral
UUCAAAAAUAGGUCUCAGUUCGGACUGUAGGCUGCAACUCGCCUACACGAAGUUGGAAUUGCUAGUAAUCGUGGAUCAGCAUGCCACGGUGAAUACGUUCCCGGGCCUUGUACACACCGCCCGUCACACCAUGGGAGCCGGUAAUACCCGAAGUCAGUAGUCCAACCUCGUGAGGACGCUGCCGAAGGUAGGAUUGGCGACUGGGGUGAAGUCGUAACAAGGUAAC